Dermacentor andersoni is the source of this 2336-nucleotide long non-coding RNA. RefSeq lists it as uncharacterized. The record is from RefSeq and is a predicted model, not a curated record. NCBI's taxonomy places the organism in Eukaryota, Metazoa, Arthropoda, Arachnida, Ixodida, Ixodidae.
UGGAGCUGUGCUUCUGACUACUAUUUUUGGUACCUUAGUUCGCCUAGGCAACAUUUCGGUAGUUAAUUUUCAGACAUGUUUGUAUCGCUUGGUUUCUAGCGCACCUCUUCAAAGGUCAGAGAUAUUUCUCAUUUGCAAUGCUUAUCUCGAAGUCUCCAGCAGCAUUAUGUUUUUUGCACUUUCGUGGUGUCAAAAGCUGCCUGAGAAAAUUGCUUAUCAACAUGAACAUUCUAUCGCAGGAUUCUGCUUGUGUGGAUUUUCCUUUAGUAUAUAUAUUUUUAAAUAGCUAGAAAGUACUGGCUUUCCAUCUUGAAUCUCGUGGCCCCGGAUGCAGGUGCUGGCAUGCAGGUCGUGCAUAUUUUGGUCAUUCAUUAGUAUGUCAUAUUACUACCUCCCACUAAUCAGUUUUAAUCCUUUAAAUAUAACUGUGGCAUUGUGACUGCUAGUCAUUUUCUGAGUGUUAACACCUUUUUCUCAUUACUUUUGUUUUAGUCAAGUUGAAUUUUCAAGAAUUUUUUUAUUGAAGUUCUUUUUUUUUUAUCCACGUUUAACCUGUUUGUGUACAGCUAGAACUUGCAAUGAAUAUUUUCAUACAUGUACCUGGCUGGGUGCCAAUCAUCUUCGAAAUAAAGCUUUGUCAAUUGUAUACAUAAAAAGUAACAUUGAUGUGACAUUGUUAGUCUCACUUGUGUGCUUUGGCUACGGCUUACUGAGCUCACUUUUUGAAAGUGUCUGCGUUCACCCGGUCGACGGAACGCAGGCGUUAGGUUCACCCAAACGUCACGUCCGGGAUGUCGCAUUCAUUCUUUGUUUUUCGCGUCCGUGAUGUCACAUCCGUCUUUGGUUUUGGCGGCAGAAUGGCAAGCUCAAAGGUGGCCAAAGAACGUAAUCGGAAGAGGUGACGAGACGAAUGCGUUCUUCGUAGUUAGGAAAAGAAUUGCCAGUGGCAUCCAGUUGUGUGAGGCGCUGACGACAAGAGAUAGAAGCAGACGCCAAAGAAGUCCCACCCCAAGAUGAGUUCAUGGGUCACUCACGAAAUACCGCAAAAACAAUGUGGUGAAGAAUUUAGUCUAUGGACACACGAACAGUACACGGUGCGAUUGGACGAAUAAUAACGUUGGCUGCUGCACAAAGAGAAAGGCCGGAGUAAGGCAAUUCUUGUGUUUUAUAGAGUCCCGAACAGUCACAUGGCAAUAAUCGCCUAGCAUCUUGUAACAUGGAGCCACCUCAUAAUUGCACCAAACAAAGAUGAUGGAUGCAGCCAGUCUUGCCAGAUAACUACAUUUUGACUAUUCUGUAUUGUUUGCAUUUAUUGUGCAAAAGGAAUUCUCACAGAAAGUUUUAUCUUCAGUGGCCUUCAGUUGACGUCAUCUGCUACAACUAGCACAUAAGUUAACUCCAUAGCACCACUAGGAUGGAGACAUUGUGUCGUGGGAUGCUUCCUUAAAAGUGGGCAAGAAGAUUCUAAAGGAAAAGUGUGAGAUGGUCACAGUAAUAACCAAGGCAUUUGGCAUGGGAAUGACCCAGCUAUGAAGGUAUUAUCAGAUGUGGACAAGCAUAUAAUACUAAAUGGCGCCUUGCACGAGUCCCAAGUGUCAAAUGUAAUGAGUAUUGUGCAUUGAAAGGGCCAAAAAUGUUUUGUACAUGCAAGGGAACACUAUGGGCAUUUGAUAGCAGUUGCUUAGAUGUACUACAUUUAAAGGAACCAAACGAAUUCCCUUAGACAUAAGCAUGCAGCAAAUUCAAGGACUAGAUGAAGCUUCAAAGAAACUGCAUUUCAUGUAGGAUAGGUGUGAAUGACCUUUGUGUAUGAGAUCAGUGAGAAAAACACUAAAUGAAUGCAGUACAGUGUCUGUAUCAUAUCUUGUGCAGACCAAACUAGCCUGGAGUUUCAGCAUUUCUUGUCAGUACAUUUAAAUAGGCACUACAUUGUUCAAAGUGCAAUAUUGUUCUACAAAACAUAAUAUGCAAGAUGUAGCAUGCUAACCCUCGUGGCUCAACAACUACUGAACCGAAACCUCAAUGAGCAGUGAAGCGUCCUUGUAAUUUUCAUCGUAACCAUACUUUUGCUCUUGAAAGUGAACCUCUUUAGUGAAUUUGCUUGUGUAUUAAUUUUUCUUUAGGCAAGUAUUUUUUAUACAUGUUAAUGUCUCAAUCCUGCUUUCUCUUUUCAGAGCUAAAACAAAAUGCCUCUUAUUUCAAUUUGAUCUUUUGACCUAGGAAGCCAUCAUCUGGUGCUGUGUACAGCAAGCACAUGCUUCGGGCAAGGAGGGAGCCAGCACCAUAUCUACAUCAGCAAGAACCUCGGUGCUCAAAAUAAACAUUUUCUGUGCAAA